GAUGAACGCUGGCGGUAUGCUUAGCACAUGCAAGUCGAACGGACUCUUCGGAGUUAGUGGCGGACGGGUGAGUAACGCGUGAGAAUCUGGCUUUGGGUUCGGGACAACCACUGGAAACGGUGGCUAAUACCGGAUGUGCCGAGAGGUAAAAGAGAAAUUGCCUGAAGAUGAGCUCGCGUCUGAUUAGCUAGUUGGUGAGGUAAAGGCUCACCAAGGCAGCGAUCAGUAGCUGGUCUGAGAGGAUGACCAGCCACACUGGGACUGAGACACGGCCCAGACUCCUACGGGAGGCAGCAGUGGGGAAUUUUCCGCAAUGGGCGAAAGACUGACGGAGCAAUACCGCGUGAGGGAAGAAGGCUCUUGGGUUGUAAACCUCUUUUCUUAGGGAAGAACAAAAUGACGGUACCUAAGGAAUCAGCAUCGGCUAACUCCGUG
This 435-nucleotide ribosomal RNA is filed under the name uncultured bacterium. RNAcentral describes it as "partial 16S ribosomal RNA". It matches the Rfam family "Bacterial small subunit ribosomal RNA", at positions 28 to 507 of the family's 1533-position model. The record is from RNAcentral.